RNAcentral lists this small RNA (29 nucleotides) under Bombyx mori (domestic silkworm). RNAcentral describes it as "ovarian small RNA-9982". The record is from RNAcentral. Lineage: Eukaryota; Metazoa; Arthropoda; Insecta; Lepidoptera; Bombycidae.
AAACGAUGUCCCGCUGCUGUUGAGGCUGA